Molecule: non-coding RNA, 30 nt
Filed under: Homo sapiens (human)
Lineage: Eukaryota; Metazoa; Chordata; Mammalia; Primates; Hominidae
Source: RNAcentral
ACCUGGAACAUAGGUGCUUGCUACACACGU